GUUGCUUUGACAGAAUAGUGUGAUAGAUUUAGAAUCUAUUUAUGUAGCUUUAAAACUACAAGUAACA
This 67-nucleotide transfer RNA is filed under the name Scolytinae sp. BMNH 1274291. Its description in RNAcentral is "tRNA-Leu". It matches the Rfam family "tRNA". From Rfam's summary of the family: Transfer RNA (tRNA) molecules are approximately 80 nucleotides in length. Their secondary structure includes four short double-helical elements and three loops (D, anti-codon, and T loops). Further hydrogen bonds mediate the characteristic L-shaped molecular structure. tRNAs have two regions of fundamental functional importance: the anti-codon, which is responsible for specific mRNA codon recognition, and the 3' end, to which the tRNAs corresponding amino acid is attached (by aminoacyl-tRNA synthetases). tRNAs cope with the degeneracy of the genetic code in two manners: having more than one tRNA (with a specific anti-codon) for a particular amino acid; and 'wobble' base-pairing, i.e. permitting non-standard base-pairing at the 3rd anti-codon position. The record is from RNAcentral. Lineage: Eukaryota; Metazoa; Arthropoda; Insecta; Coleoptera; Curculionidae.